UGAAGGUUAUAGUCCACUACAA
This 22-nucleotide non-coding RNA is filed under the name Arabidopsis thaliana (thale cress). The record is from RNAcentral. Lineage: Eukaryota; Viridiplantae; Streptophyta; Magnoliopsida; Brassicales; Brassicaceae.